Molecule: ribosomal RNA, 253 nt
Filed under: uncultured bacterium
Lineage: Bacteria
Description: partial 16S ribosomal RNA
Rfam family: Bacterial small subunit ribosomal RNA
Source: RNAcentral
UACGUAGGUGGCUAGCGUUGUCCGGAUUUACUGGGCGUAAAGAGCGCGCAGGCGGUCGUUCAAGUCGAGUGUGAAAGCCCCCGGCUCAACUGGGGAGGGUCAUUCGAUACUGCUCGACUUGAAGGCAGGAGAGGGAAGUGGAAUUCCCGGUGUAGUGGUGAAAUGCGUAGAUAUCGGGAGGAACACCGGUGGCGAAGGCGGCGACCUGGGUGGAUACUGACGCUGAGGUGCGAAAGCGUGGGGAGCAAACAGG